UGUUGCUUGUUUCCUCUAAUUGCUAGUAAAAAAAUUAAAUAGACUGUGAAUGAAUUUGACAAUCAACUUGACCAAAACUUGUUUGAACCGCAGGGACUGAUAAGUGAGUUCGGCACCCCCAAGGCAGAAAAUCUUUUAGAGGAAUUUCAAUUCCAAUGACGGGAGGCUACGAGGCUUUAUUGCUGAUUAUGGGGCUGCAAUGAUGGUAGUGUUGUGGAUUGCAAUAUCUUACGUAAUACCAGAAAAAGUUCCAAAUGGUGUUCUAGAAGGUUGUUUUGUCCACUUUCAUGGAACCCUGCAUCUCUCUAUCACCGGACAGUAGUGAAGGUACUGUUUGUUAUUAUACUCUUGUUACAUUUUUCUCUCCAUCCAAAGUGCAUUCUUUUAAUACAUAGUUGGCUCAGCAUGCUUAGCAAAGUACAUUGUAGUCAUAGUUCUGUUGAUUUUGUUAAAUUAUAUGUGGAUGUUCAAUACUGUGAAACAUAAGUUGUAAUCAUUUUAAUUUAGGUAAGUUCUAAUAUCCAUUUAGAGUUACUACAAACAAACUACAGGAUAUAUGGAAGGUACCCUUGAGUUAUAUAUUUGGGGCAAUUAUUCCAGCUUUCAUGAUAGCACAACAGAAAGAAUUCAACCUUCAAAAGCCAUUUACUUACCAUUAUGACGUUUUCCUACUUGAAAUAAUGGUAUGUUUUGUUUGCUUCCUAGAAUUUGGCCUUGAGCUAUUCCAAGUUUUAUAAAAUUUCUUGACAUGGUUAUCAAAUUUAUCUCUAUGGUAAGUCUUUAGACUCUGAUUUGUGGUAUCCUUGGCCUUCCUCAUUCAAAUGGAGUCCUUCCAUAGUCCCCCAUGCAUACUAAGAGUUUGGCAAUUCUUAGGAGGCAGCUGAUCCAAAAUAGGGUUAUUAAAAGCACCAAGGAAUGCAUUGAGCAACAUACGGCCAACAUACGUCGGCGUUGCUCUUUAGCGUCGGUUUAAGCCGACACUAUAAACAGUUUUUCUAGUAGUGGUAUUGGAUGCCGAAUUGGUCUUGGAUUAAGCUUGCUUUGGUUUCCAAUUCACCUAUGACAGAUGGUAAGUAUGGCCAUGUAUGAGAAUGAAUUAGUUAGUUAUGUGAGCCUGAAUGAUAGGGAAUUCGGUUAGAGAGAGAGAAUAUACAUGUGGAAGGGAGGUAGUGUCAUGUGUUGGGGAGGACCAUAUUGAUUAUUUUAGUAUUGUUGUGUUGUUGCUGUGUCUAAGCAUAUUGAAGGCAUCUUUGACCUCAGCAUCUGGUCUAGGUCACUUGUUAACUGAAGCUAAGGAAGAGCUUAUCAUAAACAAAACCCAAGUUAAAGAGGAGAAAUGAGAGAAGUUAUCAUUUUAUCAUGUGUUGAAGAUAUAUUUUAGAGGAAAGUUUUUAAUGAGAAAGGUUACUAGAUUUA
Non-coding RNA from Cicer arietinum (chickpea), 1416 nucleotides. Lineage: Eukaryota; Viridiplantae; Streptophyta; Magnoliopsida; Fabales; Fabaceae. The record is from RefSeq and is a predicted model, not a curated record.